ACUGUUCAUUCGGGAACGAGAGAUACUGCAGCUCGAUCAGAGACAAGAGUACCAGCACGUACAUACGCUAUCCGGGCAAGGGAAGAAGCUUCUGCUCCAGAUGUGAUAGCUGAUCAAGAAUCCAAAGAAGAACGAGGAAAAGAAAAAGUUGCGGAAUAGUCCCAAAAUUUCAAUAUCUUCUACAAAUUAGCCGGAUUGACUUGAAGUGAAGUGGGUAGAUCGGAUCAACACAACAAAGCACACUAUCCAGAUCAAUUCCGGUAGCUUUUGUUUUAUGUUUGAAGAUUUAUAUGGCAUGUAUAGAGUUUGAAUGAAUUGAAGUAAAGAUGUUAUAAACUAGUUAACAA
Gossypium arboreum is the source of this 347-nucleotide long non-coding RNA. RefSeq lists it as uncharacterized. NCBI's taxonomy places the organism in Eukaryota, Viridiplantae, Streptophyta, Magnoliopsida, Malvales, Malvaceae. The transcript is spliced from 3 exons. The record is from RefSeq and is a predicted model, not a curated record.